GAUGAACGCUCGCGAUAGGCUUAACACAUGCAAGUCGAGGGGCAGCACAAGGUAGCUUGCUCUCUGGGUGGCGACCGGCGCACGGGUGCGUAACGCGUAUGCAACUUGCCCUAUACAGGAGGAUAACCCGUCGAAAGACGGACUAAUACUGCGUAUGCUCACAACUUGGCAUCAAGUGGUGAGGAAAGAAAUUCGGUAUAGGAUAGGCAUGCGUCCCAUUAGCUUGUUGGUGAGGUAACGGCUCACCAAGGCAACGAUGGGUAGGGGAACUGAGAGGUUACUCCCCCACACUGGUACUGAGACACGGACCAGACUCCUACGGGAGGCAGCAGUGAGGAAUAUUGGUCAAUGGGCGCGAGCCUGAACCAGCCAAGUCGCGUGAAGGAUGACUGUCUUAUGGAUUGUAAACUUCUUUUAGACGGGAAUAACAAGAGUCACGUGUGACUUCCUGCAUGUACCGUAUGAAUAAGCAUCGGCUAACUCCGUG
This 487-nucleotide ribosomal RNA is filed under the name uncultured bacterium. Its description in RNAcentral is "partial 16S ribosomal RNA". It matches the Rfam family "Bacterial small subunit ribosomal RNA", at positions 28 to 507 of the family's 1533-position model. The record is from RNAcentral.